UACAGAGGGUGCAAGCGUUGUUCGGAAUUACUGGGCGUAAAGGGCGUGUAGGCGGCUUAGCAAGUCAGAUGUGAAAUCCCGGGGCUUAACUUCGGAAGUGCAUUUGAAACUGCUAGGCUAGAGUGAGGUAGAGGUUGGUGGAAUUCCCAGUGUAGAGGUGAAAUUCGUAGAUAUUGGGAGGAACACCGGUGGCGAAGGCGGCCAACUGGGCCUUAACUGACGCUGAGGCGCGAAAGCGUGGGGAGCAAACAGG
Molecule: ribosomal RNA, 253 nt
Filed under: uncultured bacterium
Lineage: Bacteria
Description: partial 16S ribosomal RNA
Rfam family: Bacterial small subunit ribosomal RNA
Source: RNAcentral